GUUCUAAAGGUAGUGAAGCAGCAAUUUACACAUAGUUUCAUUUUGUUUUUUGUCUUUGCAAAGUUCAAUUUUUUUUCUAAUGGAGACAUUGGAUUUUUUUAACGGACUCAUACAUUUGCCAACCUUAUUUAAAACCAUUAAUGAUGUUAUCCAUUUUAUGUGCGACAAGGUGGUAGCAUUGAUAUAUUUUGUGAAAUUGCAGCGUUGGAAAUAAAGCUAUUAUAUUUCUUUUAUUUAUUGGAUACAUUUCUUCUUCUUUUAUAUAUUAAAUAAAGCCGUUGGGUUUUUUUUUUUUAUUGUUUUACACAUGUUAUUUUUGGUCCUUUUAUAGCUUACUUUCCAGCAUUGAACAUAGCUUUACAAGAUUGUGUCUUGGGUGGAAAGAUGUCUCAUUUGGCACUCGUACCUCAUCUUCUUAUUUCUAUAUACAAGGCACGUUUUAGAAAAAAAGAUAAUAGGUAAUAUGAAACCCACUAUGAUCCAGAGGAUUUAAAUAAUUGGAGAUAUUGAGCAUAUGUCAAUGGGACAGCAGCCGAACGAUAAGAAUACCUCUCAGAUAUAUUUUGGGAUAAAAUUAGCAACACACGGACAUUAUCGAUGGAUGAGACUAUACAAAGUAUGUUAAGCUAUUUACGGAAUAUUGUGGUGCUCUUACUAUUAGUUCAGGUCCUGAUGAAUAAGUUUACAUAUCCAGUACAGAUAGAAGUGUUUCAGUGCCAGUUUUCAUGUUUUUCGAGGCAGAAAUGUUUUUGGAAUGACAUUAUACAGGUUUAAAAGAGCUCAAAAAUUGUUCAUACUAGACAGUGGUCAAUUCAUUUAAAAUUUCACUGUUUCACGCCGUG
RNAcentral lists this long non-coding RNA (842 nucleotides) under Mytilus galloprovincialis (Mediterranean mussel). Lineage: Eukaryota; Metazoa; Mollusca; Bivalvia; Mytilida; Mytilidae. The record is from RNAcentral.